CACCACCGACGUUUGUCUUUGAUGAUAGUUCUGCUUCGAUGAAGAAUGGGACUUCUUUUUGUUCAUCUUCGUUCUAUUUCAUAGCACCUUGUAAGAUCUCUUCGUACUCAGACGCAUUAUAAUGCGUAACCCGUGCACCCACUUUCGAGACCAUAACCUCGAAAUUUUCCAGCCACAGCGAAAAGACCAAGGCGGAGAAGAUUUCUGAGAGAUCAUGGAGGGCUCUGUCGCACUAUAUUGAUUUUCAUUCCUAUCAGGGUGGUGCUUUUUCCACUGGCUGUUGACUUCUUCUUGUACUCGUCGCGUUUCGUUGUGGCGGUAACAUCUCUCUCUCCUCCGAUGAUGUUUUUAUUUCUGCUAUGCAUUGUUCAAAGAGAACAAUUGCACUUUAACUUUGAAACUGCUAGCUGUUUUUGGUGAUCUGGCAGCGGUUUUCGCAGGUGUGGUUGAUACUGCUGUUUGUGGAACGGCAACUGCUGGUGCAGGUGACGAUGCUGGAACGUGUUCUUCGGUAGGUUUCCGC
Molecule: long non-coding RNA, 523 nt
Organism: Vespula vulgaris
Lineage: Eukaryota; Metazoa; Arthropoda; Insecta; Hymenoptera; Vespidae
Exons: 4
Source: RefSeq, a predicted model, not a curated record